CUAAGAACUUUCCAGAGAUGGAUUGGUGCCUUCGGGAACUUAGAUACAGGUGCUGCAUGGCUGUCGUCAGCUCGUGUCGUGAGAUGUUGGGUUAAGUCCCGNAACGAGCGCAACCUUUUCCUUAUUUGCCAGCGGGUCAUGCCGGGAACUUUAAGGAUACUGCCAGUGACGAACUGGAGGAAGGCGGGGACGACGUCAAGUCAUCAUGGCCCUUACGGCCAGGGCUACACACGUGCUACAAUGGUCGGUACAAAGGGUUGCUACCUCGCGAGAGGAUGCUAAUCUCAAAAAGCCGAUCGUAGUCCGGAUCGCAGUCUGCAACUCGACUGCGUGAAGUCGGAAUCGCUAGUAAUCGCGGAUCAGAAUGCCGCGGUGAAUACGUUCCCGGGCCUUGUACACACCGCCCGUCACACCAUGGGAGUUUGUUGCACCAGAAGUAGGUAGUCUAACCGCAAGGAGGACGCUUACCACGGUGUGGCCGAUGACUGGGGUGAAGUCGUAACAAGGUAGGCGUAGAUGA
Molecule: ribosomal RNA, 520 nt
Filed under: uncultured bacterium
Lineage: Bacteria
Description: bacterial SSU rRNA
Rfam family: Bacterial small subunit ribosomal RNA
Source: RNAcentral